UUGGGUCAGCGACUUAUNNUCCCAGCAAGUUAACCGAAUAGGGAGCCGAAGAAACCGAGUCUUAACUGGGCGUUAAGUUGCAGGUAUAGACCCGAAACCCGGUGAUCUAGCCAUGGGCAGGUUGAAGGUUGGGUAACACUAACUGGAGGACCGAACCGACUAAUGUUGAAAAAUUAGCGGAUGACUUGUGGCUGGGGGUGAAAGGCCAAUCAAACCGGGAGAUAGCUGGUUCUCCCCGAAAGCUAUUUAGGUAGCGCCUCGUGAAUUCAUCUCCGGGGUAGAGCACUGUUUCGGCAAGGGGUCAUCCCGACUUACCAACCCGAUGCAAACUGCGAAUACCGGAGAAUGUUAUCACGGGAGACACACGGCGGGUGCUAACGUCCGUCGUGAAGAGGAAACAACCCAGACCGCCAGCUAAGGUCCCAAAGUCAUGGUUAAGUGGGAAACGAUGUGGAAGGCCCAGACAGCCAGGAUGUUGGCUUAAAGCAGCCAUCAUUUAAAAGAAAGCGUAAUAGCUCACUGGUCGAGUCGGCCUGCGAAGAUGUAACGGGGCUAAACCACGCACCGAAGGCGGCAGCGACGCUUAUGCGUUGUUGGUAGGGAGCNGUUCUAAGCCNNGAGUGUGCUGUGAGGCAUGCUGGAGGUAUCAGAAGUGCGAAUGCUGACAUAAGUAACGAUAAAGCGGGUGAAAAGCCCGCUCGCCGGAAGACCAAGGGUUCCUGUCCAACGUUAAUCAGGGCAGGGUGAGUCGACCCCUAAGGCGAGNCGAAAGGCGUAGUCGAUGGGAAACAGGUUAUUCCUGUACUUGGUGUUACUGCGAAGGGGACGGAGAAGGCUAUGUUGGCCGGGCGACGGUUGUCCCGGUUUAAGCGUGUAGGCUGGUUUCCAGGCAAAUCCGGAAAAUCAAGGCUGAGGCGUGAUGACGAGGCACUACGGUGCUGAAGCAACAAAUGCCCUGCUUCAGGAAAAGCCUCUGCAUCAGGUAACAUCAAAUCGUACCCCAAACCGACACAGGUGGUCAGGUAGAGAAUACCAAGGCGCUUGAGAGAACUCGGGUGAAGGAACUAGGCAAAAUGGUGCCGUAACUUCGGGAGAAGGCACGCUGAUAUGUAGGUGAGGUCCCUCGCGGAUGGAGCUGAAAUCAGUCGAAGAUACCAGCUGGCUGCAACUGUUUAUUAAAACACAGCACUGUGCAAACACGAAAGUGGACGUAUACGGUGUGACGCCUGCCCGGUGCCGGAAGGUUAAUUGAUGGGGUUAGCGCAAGCGAAGCUCUUGAUCGAAGCCCCAGUAAACGGCGGCCGUAACUAUAACGGUCCUANGCGAAAUUCCUUGUCGGGUAAGUUCCGACCUGCACGAAUGGCGUAAUGGCCAGGNUGUCUCCACCC
Molecule: ribosomal RNA, 1388 nt
Filed under: metagenome
Description: bacterial LSU rRNA
Rfam family: Bacterial large subunit ribosomal RNA
Source: RNAcentral